Molecule: ribosomal RNA, 305 nt
Filed under: uncultured bacterium
Lineage: Bacteria
Description: bacterial SSU rRNA
Rfam family: Bacterial small subunit ribosomal RNA
Source: RNAcentral
CCUACGGGGGGCAGCAGUGGGGAAUAUUGCACAAUGGGGGAAACCCUGAUGCAGCGACGCCGCGUGAGUGAAGAAGUAUUUCGGUAUGUAAAGCUCUAUCAGCAGGGAAGAUAAUGACGGUACCUGACUAAGAAGCCCCGGCUAACUACGUGCCAGCAGCCGCGGUAAUACGUAGGGGGCAAGCGUUAUCCGGAUUUACUGGGUGUAAAGGGAGCGUAGGUGGCAGGGCAAGUCAGAUGUGAAAACCCGGGGCUCAACUCCGGGAGUGCAUUUGAAACUGUGUUUCUUGAGUACUGGAGAGGCAG